RNAcentral lists this ribosomal RNA (253 nucleotides) under uncultured bacterium. Its description in RNAcentral is "partial 16S ribosomal RNA". It matches the Rfam family "Bacterial small subunit ribosomal RNA", at positions 524 to 776 of the family's 1533-position model. The record is from RNAcentral.
GACAGAGGUCUCAAGCGUUGUUCGGAUUCAUUGGGCGUAAAGGGUGCGUAGGCGGCGCGGUAAGUCGGGUGUGAAAUCUCGGGGCUUAACUCCGAAACUGCAUUCGAUACUGCCGUGCUUGAGGACUGGAGAGGAGACUGGAAUUUACGGUGUAGCGGUGAAAUGCGUAGAUAUCGUAAGGAAGACCAGUGGCGAAGGCGGGUCUCUGGACAGUUCCUGACGCUGAGGCACGAAGGCCAGGGGAGCAAACGGG